RNAcentral lists this ribosomal RNA (253 nucleotides) under uncultured bacterium. Its description in RNAcentral is "partial 16S ribosomal RNA". It matches the Rfam family "Bacterial small subunit ribosomal RNA", at positions 524 to 776 of the family's 1533-position model. The record is from RNAcentral.
UACAGAGGGUGCGAGCGUUAAUCGGAAUUACUGGGCGUAAAGCGCACGUAGGUGGCGACGUAAGUCGGGUGUGAAAGCCCCGGGCUCAACCUGGGAAUUGCAUUCGAGACUGAAUAGCUAGGGUACGGUAGAGGGAAGCGGAAUUUCCGGUGUAGCGGUGAAAUGCGUAGAUAUCGGAAGGAACAUCAGUGGCGAAAGCGGCUUCCUGGACCAGUACCGACGUUCAGGCACGAAAGCGUGGGGAGCAAACAGG